AAACUGUCGUUUAGUGCGAUAGAUAAGACAGUUAAAUUCUGUCGCAGAAAUGAGCGGUUUAUAACAAAAUGCUUACAUUCUCACUAGGUAUAUAUGUGCUCACUCAGCUGAUAAAUUUGAGAUACACAGGCGCCCUGCAAUGUUACAACUGCUCCAACAUUGUUGACACCGACGAAUGUUUAACAGUAACAGAAUGUCUUGCUGGUCAGUCAUGUUACCAAGACA
This is a long non-coding RNA of Mercenaria mercenaria, 225 nucleotides long. RefSeq lists it as uncharacterized. NCBI's taxonomy places the organism in Eukaryota, Metazoa, Mollusca, Bivalvia, Venerida, Veneridae. The transcript has 4 exons. The record is from RefSeq and is a predicted model, not a curated record.